This 1337-nucleotide ribosomal RNA is filed under the name uncultured organism. RNAcentral's name for it is "16S ribosomal RNA". It matches the Rfam family "Bacterial small subunit ribosomal RNA", at positions 93 to 1431 of the family's 1533-position model. The record is from RNAcentral.
GACCGGCGAACGGGCGCGUAACGCGUAUGCAACUUACCUUUUACUGGGGGAUAGCCCGGGGAAACUCGGAUUAAUACCCCAUGGUAUUGUUUGAGGGCAUCUGAAGACAAUUAAAGAUUUAUCGGUAAAAGAUGGGCAUGCGUAAGAUUAGCUAGUUGGUGUGGUAAUGGCACACCAAGGCGACGAUCUUUAGGGGGUCUGAGAGGAUGAUCCCCCACACUGGUACUGAGAUACGGACCAGACUCCUACGGGAGGCAGCAGUAGGGAAUAUUGGUCAAUGGACGAGAGUCUGAACCAGCCAUGCCGCGUGCAGGAAGACGGCCUUCUGGGUUGUAAACUGCUUUUAUACGGGAAGAAAAGGCCCAUGCGUGGGACAUUGCCGGUACCGUACGAAUAAGCACCGGCUAACUCCGUGCCAGCAGCCGCGGUAAUACGGAGGGUGCAAGCGUUGUCCGGAUUUAUUGGGUUUAAAGGGUACGUAGGCGGCUUUUUAAGUCAGUGGUGAAAUCCCGCAGCUUAACUGUGGAACUGCCAUUGAUACUGGAAAGCUUGAGUAUUGUUAAGGUAGGCGGAAUUGAUGGUGUAGCGGUGAAAUGCAUAGAUACCAUCAGGAACACCGAUUGCGAAGGCAGCUUACUGGGCAAUAACUGACGCUAAGGUACGAAAGCGUGGGGAGCGAACCAGGAUUAGAUACCCUGGUAGUCCACGCUGUAAACGAUGAUCACUCGCUGUUGGCGAUACACAGUCAGCGGGCAAGCGAAAGCGUUAAGUGAUCCACCUGGGGAGUACGCUCCGCAGAGUGAAACUCAGAGGAAUUGACGGGGGGUCCGCACAAUCGUUGGAGCACGUGGUGUAAUUCGAUGAUACGCGAGGAACCUUACCUGGGCUAGAACGUGAGCGCUAUUCUGAGAGAUCAGAAGUUCUUCGGACGGUGAAACAAGGUGCUGCAUGGCUGUCGUCAGCUCGUGCCGUGAGGUGUUGGGUUAAGUCCCCGCAACGAGCGCAACCCCUAUUCUUAGUUGCCAGCACAUAAUGGUGGGGACUCUAAGGAGACUGCCUGCGCAAGCAGAGAGGAAGGAGGGGACGAUGUCAAGUCAUCAUGGCCCUUACGCCCAGGGCUACACACGUGCUACAAUGGCCUGUACAGAGGGUAGCGACACAGUGAUGUGAAGCCAAUCUCAAAAAGCAGGUCUCAGUUCGGAUCGUAGUCUGCAACUCGACUACGUGAAGCUGGAAUCGCUAGUAAUCGCAUAUCAGCAAUGAUGCGGUGAAUACGUUCCCGGACCUUGUACACACCGCCCGUCAAGCCAUGGGAGUUGGGUAUGCCUGAAGACGGU